UGGGGAAUAUUGCACAAUGGGGGAAACCCUGAUGCAGCGACGCCGCGUGGAGGAAGAAGGUUUUCGGAUUGUAAACUCCUGUCGUUAGGGACGAUAAUGACGGUACCUAACAAGAAAGCACCGGCUAACUACGUGCCAGCAGCCGCGGUAAAACGUAGGGUGCAAGCGUUGUCCGGAAUUACUGGGUGUAAAGGGAGCGCAGGCGGACCGGCAAGUUGGAAGUGAAAACUAUGGGCUCAACCCAUAAAUUGCUUUCAAAACUGCUGGCCUUGAGUAGUGCAGAGGUAGGUGAAAUUCCCGGUGUAGCGGUGGAAUGCGUAGAUAUCGGGAGGAACACCAGUGGCGAAGGCGACCUACUGGGCACCAACUGACGCUGAGGCUCGAAAGCAUGGGUAGCAAACAGGAUUAGAUACCCUGGUAGUCCAUGCCGUAAACGAUGAUUACUAGGUGUUGGAGGAUUGACCCCUUCAGUGCCGCAGUUAACACAAUAAGUAAUCCACCUGGGGAGUACGACCGCAAGGUUGAAACUCAAAGGAAUUGACGGGGGCCCGCACAAGCAGUGGAGUAUGUGGUUUAAUUCGAAGCAACGCGAAGAACCUUACCAGGUCUUGACAUCCGAUGCAUAGCUUAGAGAUAAGUGAAGUCCUUCGGGACAUCGAGACAGGUGGUGCAUGGUUGUCGUCAGCUCGUGUCGUGAGAUGUUGGGUUAAGUCCCGCAACGAGCGCAACCCUUAUUGCCAGUUACUACGAAAGAGGACUCUGGCGAGACUGCCGUUGACAAAACGGAGGAAGGUGGGGAUGACGUCAAAUCAUCAUGCCCUUUAUGACCUGGGCUACACACGUACUACAAUGGCGUUUAACAAAGAGAAGCAAGACCGCGAGGUGGAGCAAAACUCAAAAACAACGUCUCAGUUCAGAUUGCAGGCUGCAACUCGCCUGCAUGAAGUCGGAAUUGCUAGUAAUCGCGGAUCAGCAUGCCGCGGUGAAUACGUUCCC
Molecule: ribosomal RNA, 996 nt
Filed under: uncultured organism
Description: bacterial SSU rRNA
Rfam family: Bacterial small subunit ribosomal RNA
Source: RNAcentral